RNAcentral lists this unclassified non-coding RNA (1122 nucleotides) under Leishmania donovani. Its description in RNAcentral is "gene:LdHU3.36.0530(CDS-product:hypothetical_prote in_conserved)". The record is from RNAcentral. Lineage: Eukaryota; Euglenozoa; Kinetoplastea; Trypanosomatida; Trypanosomatidae.
CUGACUCCCCGCGCAGGCCCCUCUCCUAGCGCUGAUUUUGAAAGCACAGAAAGUUAGCCUGACAAUCAACGCUCUCUUACUGCGCACGGACGACAUCUUUUUCUCAUCGAGGCCCGAUUCGACCGGCUCAGUGUUCCGCCACGUGGAAGUCGUCGCCCCUUCAGCCCUUCCCUCAGGCGAUUUAGUUUUUUUUUGCGCCGCUCUCUGUCCCCCUCCCUGCACAUUACGCCUAUCGUAGGCAUGUCCGACUUCGACGGGGAUCUGUCGAAUGUCCAUCCGCAGCUUUUGAAGCUGUGCGCUAACCCGGAGGAUUGGCGUGAGCAGCGGCGCCGCGCCAUGAAGGCAAAAAUCUUCGGCACCGGCGCUCAGGCGGGUGCCUCGCCCGCAGCGGAGACAUACCUGCCAACAGAUAGGACUGUCGGCCCGUCGCCGUCAUCCGCACAGCAGCCCUCUGCUUCCUCGUAUUCAGGUCAACAAGGUCCGGUGUCGCAACAGGCUGCGGAGUCGUAUAUCCUUCAGCAGAUCCUGUCGCACAAACGCCGUCGCGAGGAGGCGAACACCGAGAAGGCGAGCGCGCUCGCCAGCACACCUCAGCCGCAUCCGCAGCAGCCAAUGACUCAGCAGCAACAGAACCCCCCUUCUUCGCAGGGUCAGGAGCUCUCCUUGAAGGAGAAACUCAUGCGCAAGUACAGGAAAGGCUGAUCCCCAACGGCGUGCGCCAUCUCCUAUUGCAAGACUUUGCAUGCGUGUGUAUGCGAUUGUGUGUCUCUGUGUAUCCAUGUGCGGCUACGGUUGCGACUAUGCAAUAAGCGAAGAAAAAGAGACCCCAACGAGGAUCGAGGUAGAGGCGCAUCGGCUCCUUAUCUUGCCCCUCGACGGUGGAAUAGGCGAUCUGUCAAAGGGUCACCGUGUUGCCGCACUGCAGCCUGAUGUGUUGCAGCCGUCGGCGCGCACACGAUGCGUUGACAGGUGAGGAGGGCCAAUGCGCCGUACUCGUUUCAGGUGGAGGGAGCUUCAUCGCUUCCAAUCUUGUCUGUCCUGACUCGCCUGCCUGUACUUCCCUGAUGACUUUCAGCCGCUUUUGACUUGUAUGACCUUACCCCAUGAGUGUGCCGCUGGAAG